CUAGGGAGUGUUUACCAUUUGUGAGGC
This 27-nucleotide non-coding RNA is filed under the name Cricetulus griseus (Chinese hamster). The record is from RNAcentral. Lineage: Eukaryota; Metazoa; Chordata; Mammalia; Rodentia; Cricetidae.